This is a non-coding RNA of Prinia subflava (tawny-flanked prinia), 1285 nucleotides long. Lineage: Eukaryota; Metazoa; Chordata; Aves; Passeriformes; Cisticolidae. The record is from the annotation of a RefSeq genome assembly.
AUCUCCUCCUCUCCACCUCUCCUCUUUACACAUCUCCGUGUCUGUGCUGUCACCAGGGGCAGGUUGCUGGAAGGAGGGGCCCUUUCUCUAUGGAUUUCCACCGGUUCCUUGUGGCCAUCCUGCUCCCUGUGGGCUGGGCCCUUCAGCAAUCACCAGACACAGUUGUCCGGGUGGGAGACACCGUGACUCUGGAAUGUUCUGCAUCAGGGAAACUUUUCAUAAACUUGUACUGGUACAAGUUACCCAUGGAGAAGGAUGCCAGAUUGCAGCUGGUUUUGUAUUCAUUGGAAGGUGUCAAAGCUGAUAUUGAGAAGGAAUUCCAAAAUCGCUUCCAGAGUAAUGGCACUAAGAACAACCAUUUAUCUGUGAAGAUUCAGCAUGCCCUACUCAAUGACACAGGCACAUAUUUCUGUGCUGAACAAGAUCCACAAGCAGAGGUUUUUCUGCACCUGCAAAACGGUGUGAAUACUGAGCAAUUGUCCUUUGGCAGUGGGACAAAACUUACGGUCAUAGGGAAGAAUGAGAAAAUCAUACCUCCAGCUGUGGCCAUCUUUUCCCCAUCAAAGCAGGAGAUCCAGCAGAAGAGCAAGGCCACGCUGGUGUGCCUGGCCUCUGGUUUCUACCCUGACCACCUGACUCUGGUCUGGAGGGUGAACGGCGUGAAAAGAACCGAGGGGGUGGGGACAGACGAGUCCUCCACACGGAAUGGGAGCACCUACUCACUGACCAGCCGGCUGAGGAUGCCAGCCUGGGAGUGGUUCAACCCUUCCAAUCGCUUCGAAUGCAUUGCCAAUUUUUUUCAGAAUGGAACAACGCAAUCAAUGAACAAAUUUAUCUAUGGUGAUGUUGGUUGUGCACUCACAGAAGAGUCGUACUUGCGGUAUGGAAAUUCUCUGAAGCUCACGUACCUCAUCCUCUGUGGCAAAGCCUUGGUCUAUGCGGUUCUGGUGAGUGGUCUGGUGUGGACGGCCAAGACUGGUACCAAAUUAUCUAGAGAAUAAAAGAAGAGCAUUUGUCAUCACAUCAGCAGGAACACAGCAAGUUCUCUGCCUUUCCAUAGGAAAGCGUCUAUGCUUCUAGGAACUUCUGAAUAUAAUUGUUUUAUAAUCAUCUGUUGCCAUCCUGUUCUUCACUGUGUUGUAAUCACUCCUGAGCUUUCCCUGGUACUUCCAUAUCAUAGUGUAUUAUAUUUUAUUGUAAUGUAUCUUUAAAACUAGCACCUUCUUAAUGCUCAGUGGCUAAGAACUCAUCUCUUUGAUUCAGCAAUAAAGUUUUCACUUCUUUU